UACGUAGGUGGCAAGCGUUGUCCGGAUUUACUGGGCGUAAAGAGCGCGCAGGCGGUCGUUCAAGUCGCGUGUGAAAGCCCCCGGCUCAACUGGGGAGGGUCACGCGAUACUGAUCGACUCGAAGGCAGGAGAGGGUAGUGGAAUUCCCGGUGUAGUGGUGAAAUGCGUAGAUAUCUGGAGGAACACCGGUGGCGAAGGCGGCGUCCUGGACCAAUACUGACACUGAGUGAGCGAAAGCCAGGGGAGCAAACGGG
RNAcentral lists this ribosomal RNA (254 nucleotides) under uncultured bacterium. RNAcentral describes it as "partial 16S ribosomal RNA". It matches the Rfam family "Bacterial small subunit ribosomal RNA", at positions 524 to 776 of the family's 1533-position model. The record is from RNAcentral.